UACGUAGGGUGCAAGCGUUGUCCGGAAUUAUUGGGCGUAAAGAGCUCGUAGGCGGUUUGUUGCGUCGGCUGUGAAAUCCCGAGGCUCAACCUCGGGUCUGCAGUCGAUACGAGCAAACUAGAGUGUUGCAGGGGAGACUGGAAUUCCUGGUGUAGCGGUGAAAUGCGCAGAUAUCAGGAGGAACACCAGCGGCGAAGGCGGCGCUCUGGGCCGGUACUGACACUGAGGAGCGAAAGCGUGGGUAGCAAACAGG
This 253-nucleotide ribosomal RNA is filed under the name uncultured bacterium. RNAcentral describes it as "partial 16S ribosomal RNA". It matches the Rfam family "Bacterial small subunit ribosomal RNA", at positions 524 to 776 of the family's 1533-position model. The record is from RNAcentral.